This 305-nucleotide ribosomal RNA is filed under the name uncultured bacterium. Its description in RNAcentral is "bacterial SSU rRNA". It matches the Rfam family "Bacterial small subunit ribosomal RNA", at positions 337 to 659 of the family's 1533-position model. The record is from RNAcentral.
CCCUACGGGGGGCCGCCGUCGGGCCUCUUGCUCCCUGGGGGCCCCCCUGCCGCCGCAACGCCGCGUGGAGGAUGAAGGUUUUCGGAUUGUAAACUCCUUUUGUUAGAGAAGAUAAUGACGGUAUCUAACGAAUAAGCACCGGCUAACUCCGUGCCAGCAGCCGCGGUAAUACGGAGGGUGCAAGCGUUACUCGGAAUCACUGGGCGUAAAGAGCGCGUAGGCGGGAUAGCAAGUCAGAUGUGAAAUCCUAUGGCUUAACCAUAGAACUGCAUUUGAAACUGUUAUUCUAGAGUAUGGGAGAGGUG